RNAcentral lists this long non-coding RNA (982 nucleotides) under Arabidopsis lyrata. Its description in RNAcentral is "long non-coding RNA (ALYR_LNC003381)". Lineage: Eukaryota; Viridiplantae; Streptophyta; Magnoliopsida; Brassicales; Brassicaceae. The record is from RNAcentral.
GAACACACAAGAUGAUCCAAUAAAAAAAACAAUACAAACAUAAAAUAAAAUUAUGGGCAUGUUCGUCUAAUCAUUCAACAUUUUUUUUUUUUUUUUUCGUCUGAAUAAUUCAUGAAAAAGAGCCAAAGUCGAAAUACAAGGAUGUGAUACAUGGAGAAAUACUAAAGCCGGCGGGACUUUAACCCCCGGAAACUAAGCCGGCGGGACUUUAACCCCCAGAAACUAAGCCCCAAACAGACGGGGAAACAAACAAAACACUAAAACAGAUCUAAACAAGAUUGGAAAUUUUACACAGAAAAACAAUAAUCUUUUUACCCGAACAAACCGAGAUCGCAAAAACUAUCAGGUUGACACAAAGGAACAGACCACAACCUAAAAAGCCUUUGAUCAACUUGCCUCACUUGAUGAUUAAGAGUCUUCAGAAGAAAAAACCUUGGGAUACCUUGAGAAGCGGAACGGUGGAACCUCAGCCCAACAAGCAGAGACCGUUGAAAUCGCAGUGGCCGGAUAUGUCAAGUAAACGACUUGAACCGGUAAGAGGAACCCAAACCUGGGCGGAUCUCGCCCUAGAUCCGAUCGUUGGAGCUGUGUGAGGAAACCCAAAAAAUUGGGUCACCCAAACCGAAUCACCACCACACCGACAGUGAGUGGCUUAGAGCCAUCGCGGUUUGGGCCAAGGAAGCUCAGCUAAAAAAGAGAAUUGAAAUCUGCAACAAAAACAAACCAACCAAACCCUAGAUCUAAAAGGAGAAGAGAAAGGGAAGGAAUCGAAAAAUCGAAACCAAACCAGAGAUCUCUUCCCAUAAGAAACCAUAGCUAGCUAACUAAGCAGAAACCCAAAAGCCGAAUCGACGUUGUGGCCAUGGUGGCCCACACACGCCGAUCGGAAGCGAAGAACUUAAGCGGUGGCGAGAAAGAAAAGAGAGAGAUAAGGGAGAGAAAUUUUGGAAGAGAGAGAGAUUUUUUUUUGGAUGGAACAUUU